Macrobrachium nipponense is the source of this 3074-nucleotide long non-coding RNA. RefSeq lists it as uncharacterized. The record is from RefSeq and is a predicted model, not a curated record. The transcript is spliced from 2 exons. NCBI's taxonomy places the organism in Eukaryota, Metazoa, Arthropoda, Malacostraca, Decapoda, Palaemonidae.
UUACAGAUUUUUGGUUAUCAGCACCUCUGUUAGGUAUGUAUCGGUCAAUACCCGAUUAUCGGCACUGAUAAACGGAAUUAGGUGAAUAUUGGUACUGAAAAUCAGUUCCUUCACUAGACAAUCCCCUUAAAACCGCAUCUCCGAUAAACAGUUACUGCCUGUAUCUUUGCUUUGUCAGGCCAUCAACACUAUUAUUACCCCUGUAUGGCUUCCAGCUCUCCGCUCUUCCAUUAAUUGCUGCUGCCACUAAGCCUUCUCACAAACUCCAGUGAUGCAUUCAAUGCUUCCUGUCUCUUCAGCACUGCCCACCUCCUUUCUCUGGAUGCACUAUUCUGCUAUGGGUUCUGAUUUGCUUUCCCAAUCAUUCUGACUAGUCCAUUUAUAUCAGUGGUUUGAGUGGUUUUAGCACUUAACUUACCUGUGUUGGCUGCACCUCCUGCACAAAUAUUAUUGCCAGCAUUUUUUGUUUCACUUUACACUACUUCUGUUUACCAGUUUGCCAGAUAUUGCCACCCAACCCUACUUCAGUGCCUACCCAACUAUUUGAGUUUGUUAAUGCCACUACAAUAUAAAAAUUUCAACUUUGCCAGUGACAUCUGCUGCUUUGUCCAUGCCUCCAUAUGUGUUUUUGGACUCUGUGGCACACCUUGAUAUUCCUCUUUCCUGCUGAUCCUAAUCUGGACCUUUUGCGACAAUCCUGGAUCAACAGAAGUCCACCAUCUGCCAAAUAUAAGCAUCUGAAAGAUACUACUAACUAAAGAUCAUAACCACUAUAGUUCUUGCUCUAGCCACUUUGAAAAGGGCAUUUCCAGAUAUUCCUCUUCUUCCUGUUGUAUGAUCUCUGUCACAUUCAGCUCCAGGAUCAAGACCAUCACCCUGAUAAGUUAGACGAUCCAACUAGGUUAGAUUUAUUGUAUAUGACAGUCUUUUAUCAUGUCCUGUCACUGUCAAAAGACAGGAUUACUAUAACACUGCUGCAAGAUGGGACUUGUGCUAAAGUCACAAAGGCAUUUGGUACUGCUUUAUUCUCAAGGUUUCACAAUUUUCAAGUGGUCUUACUUUCUUUGUUUCAGUUGCUUAAUCCCAGCCAUCUGAAAAGGUCUGAAUCCCUUUUGCAGGUGACCUUUCUGCCUCCAAAAUCCCAGACAGGAGGUUAUACAGAUCUUUCCCACUGACAACCAAGACUCCUGUAACUCUAAGGAGAGCCCAUUUUAAUCCUUCUCAGGACCUGACUCACCUCACCGAAUUUUCUGACAAGGAAGAGACCUCCAUUCCAAAAGUCCUUGACUGCAGAACUUCAUUCUAAAAUUAAUAUCUCUGGGCAAAUAGAAUACUUGAAUGAGCCCUAAGUAUGUCACUAAGACACCUUAGCAGAUGUCCAUAUCUGUACAGGAAAAAAAAAAAACUUUAUUUAAAUUUACCAGACAACAAGCUCUGAAAAUUCUACACCAUCCAGGGUUAGUCCACUCAAGCUUAUCAGAGUCAGACAUUUGACAGCAUUCUUUACCUCCAUCUCUUAUCAUUCAUUUUCUAGCAUAGGAUAUGAAAAGUCCAAGAGUUUGAACAAUGAGGCAUGGGUCAGUACCCAAGAAACAGACAGUCAAGAAGGUUUCAGACAGAUCAAGAUUUUACAGGUACCUGUUUCUGCUUCAAAAGGCAACAUGAUGCUCAUUCCUUAACCUAGGCCUCCUGACCAAAUUCCUGUGGCAUACUCCUUUCCAAAUAGAAAUGGUGGAAUCAGUGAGACUGUCCAUUCAGAAGAAUAUCACGGCUCCCUUUGACCAUUAGGACACAUCCCCAUUCAAAUGCUAGCAAGUAUGUACUUAAGAUUCAUCUAGAGAGGCACUUUGCUUUGGUUUAAUGAGAGCCCUGCAGGUCUUUACCUGAACUUUUACAUUUGUGGCAGCCCUGGUAAAUUUGUCCAGCAUAAGACAGCCCUGCCAUUUGGACAACAGGCAUGUUCUACUUGUAGAAGGGAUAGUAGCGAAGGUGCAGGAGGGCCUGGCUUGGAUGUGUCAUCUCUGCUGUAAAGUUAGCCUGUAAAAUAACUGGAGGAAAUCGGACAUUGUACCCUCCAGGUAGCAAAAUAUCUGGGCAUGGAAACGGACACUAGUAGUGUUCAAGAAGCUAGGAGAGCUGAUGAUAACACAAGAAUAGAGAAGCUAAAAUAAAGUUUUGAUUUUAUUAAGUGAUGUACAGAUGGUAUAAAGCAAGAUUCCACUAUAAACCAAGUAAGAAAUGCUUAGGGUAAGACUGCUAUGAGCUGAUCCCAUGGUGAUAGACAAGAAAGAUGGCAAAGAAACAGUGAGAAGAAUAAAAAGUUAAUAAAUUAAAUAAAAAAAGUAGUAGUAUCAACAAAUCCAAGUGUUAGUAAAGAAGUAUGUGGGUGUUAUCGGGAAAGGGAUAUUGAGAAAAACACGGUAGUGAAAUCAAGAUGCAAACUGGCCAGUUUACGAGAAUAAGAGCCUUCAAGCUCUGGCAGAGGACAGGCAAGUGAGAUAAUUAAGAUGUAUACAUAGGUUAGAGGACAGAGGCAUACACAUAUUUUAAAAAGGUAUCUACUUUGAUUCUGACCUUGAUGGGCACACAAAAAACUCUUGAGUUCCUCUUAAACAUUUUUUCCAAUAGCAGGCAUGAAUUUUUGUAUUACUGUCCACCAGAGCCUUAGUAUUUACAUAGCUAUGACUUGAAACUGUACACAAACUAACAAUACAAUCACAUACAUAAAAGAAAACAGGAUGGACCUGAAAUUUUAGGAAACAAAACAUACAUUUCAAUUUGAUCUAUUCAUGUACUAGGUAUGGUACAAAAUACAAGGAAAAGGUUAUUUACAGAAUGGGUGUGAUACACUGGGAUUAUUCUACCUGAGUUUAAAAAAUAAGCAAUGAAUAGAGAAAGAGAAAAAUCCAAGAUCCAUCAACAAGGCACCAAAUUAAUGUACCAAAGUUUUUUUUUUUAUAUAAAAUGGAAAGGAUUUGGGGUUGGGCAUUUGAGAUCAGUCAGAAUAUUACAUACUUGAGAGGGAUCUCUCCCACUUAAAAUAAAAGAUACUUAGGUGAAUUCUUGGUCUGUAC